GACGAAGGAUGCAAGCGUUAUCCGGAUUCAUUGGGUUUAAAGGGAGCGUAGGCGGCCUUGUAAGUCAGUGGUGAAAUCUUUCCGCUUAACGGAAAAACUGCCAUUGAUACUGCUUGGCUUGAGUACAGAUGCUGUGGGCGGAAUAUGACAUGUAGUGGUGAAAUACAUAGAGAUGUCAUAGAACACCGAUUGCGAAGGCAGCUCACUAAACUGUAACUGACGCUGAGGCACGAAAGCGUGGGGAUCAAACAGG
Molecule: ribosomal RNA, 253 nt
Filed under: uncultured bacterium
Lineage: Bacteria
Description: partial 16S ribosomal RNA
Rfam family: Bacterial small subunit ribosomal RNA
Source: RNAcentral